UUGGCUCAAUGGUAGAGCGUUCAACUCAAAUAUCAAAGGUCACGGGUUCGAAUCCCAAA
RNAcentral lists this transfer RNA (59 nucleotides) under Schistocephalus solidus. It matches the Rfam family "tRNA", at positions 7 to 64 of the family's 71-position model. From Rfam's summary of the family: Transfer RNA (tRNA) molecules are approximately 80 nucleotides in length. Their secondary structure includes four short double-helical elements and three loops (D, anti-codon, and T loops). Lineage: Eukaryota; Metazoa; Platyhelminthes; Cestoda; Diphyllobothriidea; Diphyllobothriidae. The record is from Rfam by way of RNAcentral.